Molecule: small nuclear RNA, 103 nt
Filed under: Ophiophagus hannah (king cobra)
Lineage: Eukaryota; Metazoa; Chordata; Lepidosauria; Squamata; Elapidae
Source: RNAcentral
UUGCUUUUGUGGCACAUGUACCAAAAUUGAAAGAGUACAGAGAAGAUUAGCAUGGCCCCUGUGCAAGGAUGACAUGCAAAUUCAUGAAGCGUUCCAUAUUUUU